Mytilus trossulus (common blue mussel) is the source of this 650-nucleotide long non-coding RNA. RefSeq lists it as uncharacterized. The transcript has 6 exons. NCBI's taxonomy places the organism in Eukaryota, Metazoa, Mollusca, Bivalvia, Mytilida, Mytilidae. The record is from RefSeq and is a predicted model, not a curated record.
GUACUGUCUAACAAGUAUGAGAUGGACAAAUAAAGAAAUGGAAAUAUGUUGGAAAAAAAUGGAUGUCCAUGCCUGGUCGCUUGGUCAAGAGAUCUGCACACCACUUCAAAGGUUUCCAGAUGGGUAAAAUGAACAAUGAGGAAAUUUGUAGUUUGGUGGAUCUUUGGGGAUGAUAUGGAUCGGACUUGACAAAGUUUUUAUUGAAAAGGGAACACCUAAGAUGAAUGAAAUGUGAUGCUGCUGUCAAUCUACCUGUCAGUUCAAGAGGACUUAAAGUACAUAAGUUAUUGAAAGAAUAUAGAUGAAUUGAUUGACAUCUACCUAAAGCAACCACCUGACAGCUACAGUGAGGAGAUAAUUUACCUGUCUGUUGAAGUGAUCUAUUGAUCGUCACACUUCAAAGGGUACAUCCUACCUGUAAUUAGAACCUGUCAAUCAAACUGUUAAUCGGCAGGACAUUUCAUCAUUAUGACCAUGGAAAAUCAUAAGUAUUAGUAUUGUAGGCAAGUUUACAUUGAAAGUGGUUUAUUAGAUUUGGGAUUUCCAAACAUUCAGUGAAUCAAAUUAUGAUAUUUUCUGUAUUAUGAAUACUUGUUGUAAGUCUUUUGAAGUAAAUGAAAUGCAAACAAACUUGUUUCAGGAGCAAUAAA